RNAcentral lists this long non-coding RNA (295 nucleotides) under Physcomitrium patens. RNAcentral's name for it is "long non-coding RNA (PPAT_LNC007944)". Lineage: Eukaryota; Viridiplantae; Streptophyta; Bryopsida; Funariales; Funariaceae. The record is from RNAcentral.
UUGAUUCACUUUUUAUAAACUAGAAUAGACUUCCAACUAGUAGGAAUUGAUUUUAGUUCAUAUUUUGAUGCAUUAACUAAGAGUGAGGCAAUUCUAAUAACUUAGAAGGUAAGUAAGAAUUUUUUUGAUUAAUAAAUAUGUGAAAAAUUACCAAGAAAAGAAUUCAAGCUUAAAGUUGUAGAAGAAUUGAGAUUUUUAAAAGAAGAAGCUCAUUUGUAAUGGUUCAUCACUUCUUAUUAUCAUAUUUUUCCAAUUAAACGCCAUUUUCUUGUAGUAAGAAGAUUUAUUUAUUCUU